AAGAAAUAUCAAUUUAAGCUGCUAACUUAAUAAUAGUGAUUUUAAUCAUUAAUAUUUCUUA
Molecule: transfer RNA, 61 nt
Filed under: Molanna truncata
Lineage: Eukaryota; Metazoa; Arthropoda; Insecta; Trichoptera; Molannidae
Description: tRNA-Ser
Source: RNAcentral